CCUACGGGAGGCAGCAGUAGGGAAUCUUCCGCAAUGGACGAAAGUCUGACGGAGCAACGCCGCGUGAGUGAUGAAGGUUUUCGGAUCGUAAAGCUCUGUUGUUAGGGAAGAACAAGUACCGUUCGAAUAGGGCGGUACCUUGACGGUACCUAACCAGAAAGCCACGGCUAACUACGUGCCAGCAGCCGGCGGCAUAUACGUAGGUGGACAAGCGUUGUCCGGAAAUUAUUGGGCGUAAAGGGCUCGCAGGCGGUUUCUAAGUCUGAUGUGAAAGCCCCGCUCACCGGGGAGGGUCAUUGGAAACUGGGGAACUUGAGUGCAGAAGAAGGAGAGUGGGAUUCCACCGUGUAGCGGUGAAAUGCGUAGAGAUGUGGAGGACACCAGGCGAAGGCGACUCUCUGGUCUGUAACUGACGCUGAGAGCGAAAGCGUGGGGAAGCGAACAGGAUUAGAUACCUGGUAGUCCCCCCGUAAACAAUGAGUGCUAGUGUUAGGGGUUUCCGCCCUUUAGUGCUGCAGCUACGCAUUAAGCACUCCGCCUGGGGAGUACGGUCGCAAGACUGAAACUCAAAGGAAUUGACGGGGGCCCGCACAAGCGGUGGAGCAUGUGGUUUAAUUCGAAGCAACGCGAAGAACCUUAC
Molecule: ribosomal RNA, 640 nt
Filed under: bacterium JL35-33
Lineage: Bacteria
Description: bacterial SSU rRNA
Rfam family: Bacterial small subunit ribosomal RNA
Source: RNAcentral